Molecule: long non-coding RNA, 1782 nt
Organism: Acinonyx jubatus (cheetah)
Lineage: Eukaryota; Metazoa; Chordata; Mammalia; Carnivora; Felidae
Exons: 2
Source: RefSeq, a predicted model, not a curated record
CCCUUUGGCUGCUGAGAUGCAGACAUGAGAGCCAGGCAGACCCAGGAGCCCGGGAGGAGGCAGCCACGGGCCUCUAUCCAGGUGAGAAACGGUGUGGAUUGCAGCAUGGUGGAGCGACAGGUAUCCAGAAGGAUUCCUGCUUUCCUUGCUUGAGCUCCCGCCGUGCUUUCUGUCCUGGCCCCCUCGGGCCAUCGCGGUGGGGACAGAGAGGAUGGGGGAAGGACAGAGCUGACUGCAGAUGGCCAGGGACGGCUGCGAAGGGUGUGAGAGCUGGCCGAGAGCAGGCCCUCGACCUUGGCUUGGCAGGAGCCAGGACCCCCACGGCCGCACUCUGGCCAGCGGGGAGGGUAGACAGACAUUCACAGGCUUCCCAGGCUGAGCAGGGCAGGGCCGCCUCCACGUCCUGUCUCCCACAGAGGCUCAGAUCCAUGCGAGGGCAGGCGCAGUGUUAUUCCAGCUGAAGACGGCAGGGACCCUCCCAGCACGGCACAGGCAGAGAGUGGGCAGGACAUUCCUGUGCUGGACGGGGGCUAGGCCGUGGGGGUGCCAAAGAUCCCCGUCAUCUGGUGGAAUAUUCCGCACGGACUGGGCUUCGGUCCUGGGGGGAGGGCGCUGGAAAGGGCGUCUGGGUGCCCCAGGACCUAGUGGUGGCCUAUUUGAGUGUCUGGGUUCCUGGGAGCAGUGCUUGGGGAAGCCAAGAUAGGUGAUUAUUCACAAAUAAGCCGGGAUGGCGGAGAAAGAGAGGGAGGGCAAAAGGGGAGAUAAAACCGGGAAGUGGAGACCGCGUCAGGCGGAGCCAGGAGUGAGCGUUUCCUCGCGCACGUCUCUGCAUAACUCAUGGCCCUGCUAUUUGCUGAGCGCCUGCGUGGGGCCAGACUCUGUGCUCCCCCAACCCCCCCCCCCAGUCUCCUGUGUUCACCCCACAGCCUGGGAUGUUCUCUCCGCUCCCCCGACCCAAGGAUGGGCCAAGGGCUUCCUCCCCCUGAGAACAAAGCCCUCCUCUCUCUCCAGGGUAUUGCUGUGGAUCUUGUCUGUCUUGUGUGAGCUCCAGGCUUCUCCAUCCAGGAGCCUCCUGCCCUCUGGGGGCAUUUGGGGGUGUCGGGGGGCAUAUCUGGUUGUCCAGACUCGGUGAGGCAGGGGAUGCCCCUGGCACGGGGUGGGUAGGGACCAGAGAUGCCGCUGAAAUCCAGCAAUGCCCAGGAUGGCCGGCCGCAAGGAAGGACCCGUCCCAGAUGUCGGUGGUGCGGAGGGUGGGAAGCCCAGUUCUGGGGGCGACGGAGGGUGGGCGUCUUGGGUGGAAGCAUGUUCCUCCCACCACUGCUGGCCCCGGCUUCAGGCGCUCUCCAGGUGCCAGCAGCCGUCCUAACCUUGCUACUGUGGUGUCCUCUCUUCCCCUCAGCCCUUGCCAAAAAAACAGAAAACUGCCCCAUUUGACAGUUAAAAGAAAAUUCCAUCUCCACUUAGCCUGCACACACUGAAAUGUCACCUCCUCCGGGAAGGCCAUCCUGACCUCUCUCUGCCCAAACCACACUCUGCUCUGCUCUUUGCCGGCCCCUCCACCUGGCCGUCGAUCGGCAGUGGCACAUGAAUGUUGCCAACAACCGGGCCGAUGCAUUUGGGAGUGGACCCUCCCCCAGCUGAGCUUCCGGAUGAGAACACAGCUCUACAGACACCUGAGUUGCAGCAUUUUGAGACCCUCAUGAGAGAACCCAACUAAGCCGCGCCCACACUCCAACCCAUGGGAACAAUUGUGAGGUCAUAAAAACGUGCUGCUUGAAGCCA